RNAcentral lists this long non-coding RNA (1113 nucleotides) under Phasianus colchicus (ring-necked pheasant). Its description in RNAcentral is "lncRNA (ENSPCLG00000004988.1)". Lineage: Eukaryota; Metazoa; Chordata; Aves; Galliformes; Phasianidae. The record is from RNAcentral.
AUAAUUCUCUGAAGUAUUUUUACAGCUCCACUUUAGAGAGAUGCAAAUCAGUUGAUUUGUGUGUGUGUGUCUGCAGCUGAUGACCUUUGCACUGAAGUCAUACCAGGAGCAGUGCAGCUACCAUCAGCUUUGCUGCUGAUCUGAAUGCAUUUUGUUGGUGGCAGGAGCCCAGUGUUGUGCCUACUCUUUCUCAGGGAAGGAAGAGCCCCAGUGUGUGAUUAGGGCGAUGCUGACCCAGGAGUUCAGUCAGUGCUGCCCUGGACUUCCUCUCUGCCCUUGGGGUGAAUGCUCAGAGAAACAACAUGCUGGUGCUGCUGCUCCUGGACAUAGCUCAGGCAUUAAAGGAUGUGUCUUUUUGGCUACUGCUCUGCUGGAGCUGAAACUUUCCCAAAACUCACAGCUAAGCAGUUCAGUGUGUGUUGCGUGGGACAGCUACAGAAUUCCAAUUACUGCAACAGGACUGUUUUCUUGCAAAUUUGUGUGGGCGCACAGUCAUGAGAUGUGUGAGGGACCACAGUAUACUGCCUACAAACAAAUGGCUGCAGUGCAUGAAAUUGUCCAGGGACAUUAUCCUACACUGGAAGGAAAGUGUAUGCAGGUUUGAUGCUGAACGAAAAAUGGGCAGCUCUCUAGGAACAGUAUGCUCUAACAGUUGCUUUGCUGCAGAGGGAUUUGUGAAUUUUAUGCGUGCGGUUACUUGGUUUUAACAAAGUUGGUCUCUCUGGGACCUGUGUUCUUACAAUCAGCGUAAUGAGCACUUAUGACACAGGGAAAAUUUAUAACAACACUAAGAAGCUGCUCAUGGUUCUUGUAAUAGCCUAUGAGACUGUAUAAUGAGACCUGCAUUUGAAAUUACUGUGGACUCAGCCCUCACAUAUACAGGUUACAGUGACCACUCCCUCUAGUUGUUAUCUCUGUGAUGUCACAGAGGAGACAUGGGUGUAUCACGUCUCCAGGGCACUAACUUGGUUUGAUCUAUAGUCUGUGAAUCUAGGAGAAGUUGACUACUUCCCAAAUGCUUUACAUGAGAUGGAAACAGGUGCUUUUCAUUGCCUUAAGUCUGUUCCAUGACCAAAGACAAGAAGACACUAAAUAAACAUUGUUGAGUUUGCA